GGGAAGGUGGCUCAGUGGUAGAGCGCUUGCCUUGCAUACCUGAGGCCCUGGGUUCAAUUCCCAGUGCCA
Molecule: non-coding RNA, 69 nt
Organism: Dipodomys ordii (Ord's kangaroo rat)
Lineage: Eukaryota; Metazoa; Chordata; Mammalia; Rodentia; Heteromyidae
Source: Rfam